RNAcentral lists this unclassified non-coding RNA (292 nucleotides) under Glomus sp. RNAcentral's name for it is "partial contains 5.8S ribosomal RNA and internal transcribed spacer 2". The stretch from base 1 to 71 matches the Rfam family "5.8S ribosomal RNA", at positions 84 to 154 of the family's 154-position model. Lineage: Eukaryota; Fungi; Glomeromycota; Glomeromycetes; Glomerales; Glomeraceae. The record is from RNAcentral.
GUGAAUCAUCGAAUUUUUGAACGCAUAUUGCACUCUCUGGUAUUCCGGAGAGUAUGCCUGUUUGAGGGUCAGUUAAAUAAAAAUCGAGGUUUUUGCCGCCUUUUCGUGGUGAAGUUUUGGAAUUGGGUCGUCUUUACUUUUAGGUUAAGUGAAUUAAUAUUUUUGAAUGAUAUUUGAACGCAUUUAAAUUUAUUUGGUAAGUUUUGUAAUUUCAUAUGUUUAUUAGGUGUGGUCUUCCUUAUGAUUCAUGUCUAUAAUUUUUUUUCUAAUGUCUUCAACUCAGGUAAGCGGA